GGCCCCCUAGCUCAGUGGAUUAGAGCGUGUGAUUCCAGUCCACAAGGUCAUCCGUUCGACUCGGGUGGGGGUCA
Molecule: transfer RNA, 74 nt
Filed under: Laccaria bicolor S238N-H82
Lineage: Eukaryota; Fungi; Basidiomycota; Agaricomycetes; Agaricales; Hydnangiaceae
Description: tRNA-Trp (CCA) (tRNA-Trp-CCA-1-1, tRNA-Trp-CCA-1-2)
Source: RNAcentral